RNAcentral lists this transfer RNA (71 nucleotides) under Entamoeba terrapinae. Its description in RNAcentral is "tRNA-Gln". It matches the Rfam family "tRNA". From Rfam's summary of the family: Transfer RNA (tRNA) molecules are approximately 80 nucleotides in length. Their secondary structure includes four short double-helical elements and three loops (D, anti-codon, and T loops). Lineage: Eukaryota; Evosea; Mastigamoebida; Endamoebidae. The record is from RNAcentral.
GGUUCCAUGGUGUAGGGGCAGCAUAUGAGGUUUUGGUCCUUAGGACCCCAGUUCAAUUCUGGGUGGGACCA